Oncorhynchus tshawytscha (Chinook salmon) is the source of this 323-nucleotide long non-coding RNA. NCBI's taxonomy places the organism in Eukaryota, Metazoa, Chordata, Actinopteri, Salmoniformes, Salmonidae. The record is from Ensembl.
UGGCUUUGUUCCAAGUGGCACCUAUUCCCUUUACCCUGCACUAGUAACAUAGGGUGCUGGUCCAAAGUAAUGCACUAUGAAGGGAAUAGUUAGUUGGGGCGAACUCAGCACGUCCAGGCAGGCUGGUGCAGACAUACAGGGCUGACCGACUCCAGGUUAGUUAGUUAGUUAGUUGUGUUCCCAGGGCUGACCGACUCCAGGUUAGUUAGUUGUGUUCCCAGGGCUGACUGACUCCAGGUUAGUUAGUUGUGUUCCCAGGGCUGACUGACUCCAGGUUAGUUAGUUGUGUUCCCAGGGCUGACUGACUCCAGGUUAGUUAGUUG